UGGGGAAUUUUGGACAAUGGGCGCAAGCCUGAUCCAGCAAUGCCGCGUGCAGGAUGAGGGCCUUCGGGUUGUAAACUGCUUUUGUACGGAACGAAACGGCUCUGUCUAAUACAUGGGGCUGAUGACGGUACCGUAAGAAUAAGCACCGGCUAACUACGUGCCAUCAGCCGCGGUAAUACGUAGGGUGCAAGCGUUAAUCGGAAUUACUGGGCGUAAAGCGUGCGCAGGCGGUGAUGUAAGACAGGUGUGAAAUCACCGGGCUUAACCUGGGAAUUGCAUUUGUGACUGCAGCGCUGGAGUGCGGCAGAGGGGGAUGGAAUUCCGCGUGUAGCAGUGAAAUGCGGAGUAAUGCGGAGGAACACCGAUGGCGAAGGCAAUCCCCUGGGACUGCGAUGACGCUCAUGAACGAAAGCGUGGGGAGCAAACA
This 427-nucleotide ribosomal RNA is filed under the name uncultured bacterium. Its description in RNAcentral is "bacterial SSU rRNA". It matches the Rfam family "Bacterial small subunit ribosomal RNA", at positions 355 to 774 of the family's 1533-position model. The record is from RNAcentral.